RNAcentral lists this ribosomal RNA (472 nucleotides) under Streptomyces griseorubens. Its description in RNAcentral is "bacterial SSU rRNA". It matches the Rfam family "Bacterial small subunit ribosomal RNA", at positions 46 to 535 of the family's 1533-position model. The record is from RNAcentral. Lineage: Bacteria; Bacillati; Actinomycetota; Actinomycetes; Kitasatosporales; Streptomycetaceae.
GCUUACACAUGCAAGUCGAACGAUGAACCACUUCGGUGGGGAUUAGUGGCGAACGGGUGAGUAACACGUGGGCAAUCUGCCCUGCACUCUGGGACAAGCCCUGGAAACGGGGUCUAAUACCGGAUACUGAUCCUCUUGGGCAUCCGAGAGGUUCGAAAGCUCCGGCGGUGCAGGAUGAGCCCGCGGCCUAUCAGCUUGUUGGUGAGGUAAUGGCUCACCAAGGCGACGACGGGUAGCCGGCCUGAGAGGGCGACCGGCCACACUGGGACUGAGACACGGCCCAGACUCCUACGGGAGGCAGCAGUGGGGAAUAUUGCACAAUGGGCGAAAGCCUGAUGCAGCGACGCCGCGUGAGGGAUGACGGCCUUCGGGUUGUAAACCUCUUUCAGCAGGGAAGAAGCGAAAGUGACGGUACCUGCAGAAGAAGCGCCGGCUAACUACGUGCCAGCAGCCGCGGUAAUACGUAGGGCGC